RNAcentral lists this transfer RNA (70 nucleotides) under Dipodomys ordii (Ord's kangaroo rat). It matches the Rfam family "tRNA". From Rfam's summary of the family: Transfer RNA (tRNA) molecules are approximately 80 nucleotides in length. Lineage: Eukaryota; Metazoa; Chordata; Mammalia; Rodentia; Heteromyidae. The record is from Rfam by way of RNAcentral.
GGGAAUGUGGCUUAGUGGUAAAGUGCUUGUCUAGCAUACAUGAAGCCCUGGGUUUGAUUCCUCAGCACCA